CUGCCCUGUAAGUCAGGGAGCAUCUGUGUCCCGGAGUCCCAGGCCCUUUUCAAUGGCGGCAGUGGCCGGGGGUCCCCUGUAAGCAGGGAAGCUGACUCUUUGGCUGCUGCUUUUUGUGUGCCCAGCCCCAUUUGCCCGGUCUGCCCGCCUCUGUGAUCCCCCGCAGCACUGGCUGGAAGUCCGCCGCGUGUCAGUGAGGAGCUGCUGCAGAAGAAAGAAGAAGCGGCGUGGGGACCUGGG
RNAcentral lists this long non-coding RNA (240 nucleotides) under Gallus gallus (chicken). The record is from RNAcentral. Lineage: Eukaryota; Metazoa; Chordata; Aves; Galliformes; Phasianidae.